RNAcentral lists this ribosomal RNA (460 nucleotides) under uncultured bacterium. RNAcentral describes it as "partial 16S ribosomal RNA". It matches the Rfam family "Bacterial small subunit ribosomal RNA", at positions 338 to 795 of the family's 1533-position model. The record is from RNAcentral.
CCUACGGGUGGCAGCAGUGAGGAAUAUUGGUCAAUGGACGAGAGUCUGAACCAGCCAAGUAGCGUGAAGGAUGACUGCCCUAUGGGUUGUAAACUUCUUUUAUAUGGGAAUAAAAUGUUCCACGUGUGGGAUUUUGUAUGUACCAUAUGAAUAAGGAUCGGCUAACUCCGUGCCAGCAGCCGCGGUAAUACGGAGGAUCCGAGCGUUAUCCGGAUUUAUUGGGUUUAAAGGGAGCGUAGGUGGAUUGUUAAGUCAGUUGUGAAAGUUUGCGGCGCAACCGUAAAAUUGCAGUUGAAACUGGCAGUCGUGAGUACAGUAGAGGUGGGCGGAAUUCGUGGUGUAGCGGUGAAAUGCUUAGAUAGCACGAAGAACUCCGAUUGCGAAGGCAGCUCACUGGACUGCAACUGACACUGAGGCUCGAAAGUGUGGGUAUCAAACAGGAUUAGAUACCCCAGUAGUC